Molecule: ribosomal RNA, 495 nt
Filed under: Lactiplantibacillus plantarum
Lineage: Bacteria; Bacillati; Bacillota; Bacilli; Lactobacillales; Lactobacillaceae
Description: bacterial SSU rRNA
Rfam family: Bacterial small subunit ribosomal RNA
Source: RNAcentral
AUACNUGCAGUCGACGAACUCUGGUAUUGAUUGGUGCUUGCAUCAUGAUUUACAUUUGAGUGAGUGGCGAACUGGUGAGUAACACGUGGGAAACCUGCCCAGAAGCGGGGGAUAACACCUGGAAACAGAUGCUAAUACCGCAUAACAACUUGGACCGCAUGGUCCGAGUUUGAAAGAUGGCUUCGGCUAUCACUUUUGGAUGGUCCCGCGGCGUAUUAGCUAGAUGGUGGGGUAACGGCUCACCAUGGCAAUGAUACGUAGCCGACCUGAGAGGGUAAUCGGCCACAUUGGGACUGAGACACGGCCCAAACUCCUACGGGAGGCAGCAGUAGGGAAUCUUCCACAAUGGACGAAAGUCUGAUGGAGCAACGCCGCGUGAGUGAAGAAGGGUUUCGGCUCGUAAAACUCUGUUGUUAAAGAAGAACAUAUCUGAGAGUAACUGUUCAGGUAUUGACGGUAUUUAACCAGAAAGCCACGGCUAACUACGUGCCAGNA